RNAcentral lists this ribosomal RNA (484 nucleotides) under uncultured bacterium. RNAcentral's name for it is "partial 16S ribosomal RNA". It matches the Rfam family "Bacterial small subunit ribosomal RNA", at positions 30 to 507 of the family's 1533-position model. The record is from RNAcentral.
AUUGAACGCUGGCGGCAGGCCUAACACAUGCAAGUCGAGCGGAUGAAGGGAGCUUGCUCCUGGAUUCAGCGGCGGACGGGUGAGUAAUGCCUAGGAAUCUGCCUGGUAGUGGGGGAUAACGUCCGGAAACGGGCGCUAAUACCGCAUACGUCCUGAGGGAGAAAGUGGGGGAUCUUCGGACCUCACGCUAUCAGAUGAGCCUAGGUCGGAUUAGCUAGUUGGUGGGGUAAAGGCCUACCAAGGCGACGAUCCGUAACUGGUCUGAGAGGAUGAUCAGUCACACUGGAACUGAGACACGGUCCAGACUCCUACGGAAGGCAGCAGUGGGGAAUAUUGGACAAUGGGCGAAAGCCUGAUCCAGCCAUGCCGCGUGUGUGAAGAAGGUCUUCGGAUUGUAAAGCACUUUAAGUUGGGAGGAAGGGCAGUAAGUUAAUACCUUGCUGUUUUGACGUUACCAACAGAACAAGCACCGGCUAACUUCGUG